UACGGAGGGGGCUAGCGUUGUUCGGAAUUACUGGGCGUAAAGCGCACGUAGGCGGAUAUUCAAGUCGGGGGUGAAAUCCCGGGGCUCAACCCCGGAACUGCCUUCGAUACUGGAUGUCUUGAGGUCUGGAGAGGUGAGUGGAAUUCCGAGUGUAGAGGUGAAAUUCGUAGAUAUUCGGAGGAACACCAGUGGCGAAGGCGGCUCACUGGCCAGAUUCUGACGCUGAGGUGCGAAAGCGUGGGGAGCAAACAGG
Molecule: ribosomal RNA, 253 nt
Filed under: uncultured bacterium
Lineage: Bacteria
Description: partial 16S ribosomal RNA
Rfam family: Bacterial small subunit ribosomal RNA
Source: RNAcentral